CUGACAACAGCUGAACACACCUGGAUUAAACCCCACCCACAAGCACCUUUCUAGGAACUCACACCUGUCACCUGGUCUCUGAAUACAGGAAGAGACACAGACUGACUAGCGACCGAAGCUCUGAGCACCUGGAAAGGAAUAAGUGGGACAGGGCAUGACAUCUACCAUCUCUACCAUCAGCCUCGUCUCCGAGAGGCACUUCCUGUGCCCGCUGUGUAAGGACAUCUUCAGCAGUCCCGUGACUACUCCGUGUGGCCACAGUUUCUGUCAGGACUGCCUGUGUGGGUACUGGACCCGGCACCGUUCAGACUACUGUCCCCUCUGCAAGAGAUUGUUCCAUUCCAGGCCAGACCUUAGUGUCAACCGCAUCCUGGCUGACGUCUGUGAAAACUACAGGAAGACACGGCCUGAGAGCCCUGAGGAGAGCCACGACACGCCGCAGGUUGUAGACAUUGACCAGAUGAUCCAGGAGCGAUUGAAGAAAGUUGAUAGACUCAGACACUCCCUGCAGCUCCUCAAAAACUCGUGUGUGAGGGAGGUGCGUGAGAGCCAGAAGGUGUUCUCUGCCCUUGUCAGUUCCAUGGAGAAGAGCCACAAGGCCGUGGUGGCAGCCAUUGAGGAGAGACAGGGGGAGGAGGAGAGGAUUGUUGAGAAGCUGGUGAAGGAGCUGGAACAGGAGAUUCUACAGCUGAGGAAUGGAGACACUGACCUGGGGCCUUGUCAUUCUCAGCAGAGCCAUGAUGAGCUCUGUGGGGGUGGUGGUCAGAAGAGUGUUGCAGUGAGCACCACUUCCACCACGGGCUACUCUGAGAGGAGGGACUGGUCCAAGGUUUCCAUGGAGACGGACCCCUGUAUGGGCGUGACCAGGAGAGCAGUGUCAGACCUGAUGGACGUGCUUAAAGGAGAGCUCUGUAGACUCUCUAAAGCUGAGCUGAAGAAAAUACAGAAAUACACAGUAGACAUCUCCCUGAGUCCCAAGACGGCCCACGCCUUCCUCUCGGUCUCAGACGACCGGAAACAGGUGCGACACACAGACAAACGCCAGGAGGUCCCAGACAACCCCAAGAGGUUUGACCGCGUGGCCAACGUCCUGGGAAGAGAGUCCUUCAGCAGCGGCAGGUACUGUAAUGUCCCUCUUUAUACUGUUUGCCUAUAUAAUAUAAUUCUAUAUUUAUAUAUCUAUAUUAUCAUAAAGAUCUAUGAUCAUAUAUGUAUGGUUCUUAGAACAGAUGUCAGACCGUCUGAUAUAGUUUGUUUGUUGAACUUUACUGAAACUAUUCAUGGAAACUAUUCACUCAUGUCUCUUUACCUUAACUAGUGCUGUAGUAAAACAUGGACUGGAUUUCAAUACUAAGUUCAUCAGUUAUAAUGAUUAAAACCUGGACUGGACUUUAAUACAAAGUUCAUCAGUUAUAAUGAUGAAAACCUGGACUGGACUUUCAUACAAAGUUCAUCAGUUAUAAUGAUGAAAACAUGGACUGGACUUUAAUACUAAGUUCAUCAGUUAUAAUGAUGAAAACCUGGACUGGACUUUAAUACAAAGUUCAUCAGUUAUAAUGAUGAAAACAUGGACUGGACUUUCAUACUAAGUUCAUCAGUUGUAAUGACAAACAUUGACUCCAUUCCAGGUACUACUGGACUAAUGUUGACUCCAUUCCAGGUACUAAUGUUGACUCCAUUCCAGGUACUACUGGACUAAUGUUGACUCCAUUCCAGAUACUAAUGUUGACUCCAUUCCAGGUACUAAUGUUGACUCCAUUCCAGGUACUAAUGUUGACUCCAUUCCAGGUACUAAUGUUGACUCCAUUCCAGGUACUACUGGACUAAUGUUGACUCCAUUCCAGAUACUAAUGUUGACUCCAUUCCAGAUACUAAUGUUGACUCCAUUCCAGGUACUAAUGUUGACUCCAUUCCAGGUACUAAUGUUGACUCCAUUCCAGGUACUAAUGUUGACUCCAUUCCAGAUACUAAUGUUGACUCCAUUCAAGAUACUAAUGUUGACUCCAUUCCAGGUACUACUGGACUAAUGUUGACUCCAUUCCAGGUACUAAUGUUGACUCCAUUCCAGGUACUAAUGUUGACUACAUUCCAGGUACUACUGGACUAAUGUUGACUCCAUUCCAGAUACUAAUGUUGACUCCAUUCCAGAUACUAAUGUUGACUCCAUUCCAGAUACUAAUGUUGACUCCAUUCCAGAUACUACUGGACUAAUGUUGACUCCAUUCCAGGUACUAAUGUUGACUCCAUUACAGAUACUAAUGUUGACUCCAUUCCAGAUACUAAUGUUGACUCCAUUCCAGAUACUAAUGUUGACUCCAUUCCAGGUACUAAUGUUGACUCCAUUCCAGGUACUACUGGACUAAUGUUGACUCCAUUCCAGGUACUACUGGACUAAUGUUGACUCCAUUCCAGAUACUAAUGUUGACUCCAUUCCAGAUACUAAUGUUGACUCCAUUCCAGGUACUAAUGUUGACUCCAUUCCAGGUACUAAUGUUGACUCCAUUCCAGAUACUAAUGUUGACUCCAUUCCAGGUACUACUGGACUAAUGUUGACUCCAUUCCAGGUACUAAUGUUGACUCCAUUCCAGGUACUACUGGACUAAUGUUGACUCCAUUCCAGAUACUAAUGUUGACUCCAUUCCAGAUACUAAUGUUGACUCCAUUCCAGGUACUAAUGUUGACUCCAUUCCAGGUACUAAUGUUGACUCCAUUCCAGGUACUAAUGUUGACUCCAUUCCAGGUACUACUGGACUAAUGUUGACUCCAUUCCAGAUACUAAUGUUGACUCCAUUCCAGGUACUAAUGUUGACUCCAUUCCAGGUACUACUGGACUAAUGUUGACUCCAUUCCAGAUACUAAUGUUGACUCCAUUCCAGGUACUAAUGUUGACUCCAUUCCAGAUACUAAUGUUGACUCCAUUCCAGGUACUAAUGUUGACUCCAUUCCAGGUACUAAUGUUGACUCCAUUCCAGGUACUAAUGUUGACUCCAUUCCAGGUACUACUAGACUAAUGUUGACUCCAUUCCAGGUACUAAUGUUGACUCCAUUCCAGGUACUAAUGUUGACUCCAUUCCAGGUACUACUGGACUAAUGUUGACUCCAUUCCAGAUACUAAUGUUGACUCCAUUCGAGAUACUAAUGUUGACUCCAUUCCAGAUACUAAUGUUGACUCCAUUCCAGGUACUAAUGUUGACUCCAUUCCAGAUACUAAUGUUGACUCCAUUCCAGGUACUAAUGUUGACUCCAUUCCAGGUACUAAUGUUGACUCCAUUCCAGGUACUAAUGUUGACUCCAUUCCAGGUACUAAUGUUGACUCCAUUCCAGAUACUAAUGUUGACUCCAUUCCAGGUACUAAUGUUGACUCCAUUCCAGGUACUAAUGUUGACUCCAUUCCAGGUACUAAUGUUGACUCCAUUCCAGGUACUAAUGUUGACUCCAUUCCAGGUACUAAUGUUGACUCCAUUCCAGGUACUAAUGUUGACUCCAUUCCAGAUACUAAUGUUGACUCCAUUCCAGAUACUAAUGUUGACUCCAUUCCAGAUACUAAUGUUGACUCCAUUCCAGGUACUACUGGGAGGUGGAGGUGGGAGAGAAGAUAGAGUGGAACCUGGGCGUGGCCAGACAGUCCAUCAACAGGAAGGGGAAGUUUACAGUCAGCCCAGCCAAUGGCUUCUGGACACUGAGCCUAAAGAGUGGGGGUCAAUACGUAGCUAACACCUCCCCCACUGUCACCCCCGUGGGCCUGGAGCAGAAGCCCAGGAAGGUGGGGGUGUUUCUGGACUACGUGGAGGGCCGAGUGUCCUUCUACUGCGCGGAGACUGGGGUUCACAUCCAUACGUUUACAGAUGGCUUCACUGAUAGACUACAUCCACUCUUUAGUCCUGGGAGGCAACAUGGGGGCAGGAAUAUCGCUCCUCUGACUAUUAGUACUAGCUUCUGUAGCAUCUGAGCCCCCUGACUUAACCCCCACGCCUGGAAUAGUAAUUUAUUCAUGUCAUUAUGUAGCCUAAUGUGGAAUAAGGCUCACUCGGUCCCUCUCACGUCUGCAUUUUCAGUUGGAUAAACCGACUUCUUUCCUAAUAUUGAGUUUAUGCAGUGUCUGUGUUAUCAGGCAAUGAGCUGGGUAAUCAAUAGUAAUGCUAUAAUUUAUUUUAAUUAUAAUUUAUGACAGUAUAUAUGAACCCUCAAAUGUAUAUUUUUUUACAAAGUGUUGACUUUAAAAAAAUUCUGUGCAUCAUUAAAAAAUCUGUAAAUUA
Molecule: RNA transcript, 4256 nt
Organism: Oncorhynchus keta (chum salmon)
Lineage: Eukaryota; Metazoa; Chordata; Actinopteri; Salmoniformes; Salmonidae
Gene name: E3 ubiquitin-protein ligase TRIM11-like
Exons: 11
Source: RefSeq, a predicted model, not a curated record